This 2772-nucleotide long non-coding RNA is filed under the name Solanum lycopersicum (tomato). RNAcentral describes it as "long non-coding RNA (SLYC_LNC000524)". The record is from RNAcentral. Lineage: Eukaryota; Viridiplantae; Streptophyta; Magnoliopsida; Solanales; Solanaceae.
UAAGAAAAGAAUCCAUCAUAGUGUAAAUAAAUAUUUGAGUGCUAAAAUUAUAUUAUGUCCGCUCAAUUCAAUACUGGUCUUCAUCAUCCACGAGUGUUAGAAAAGUCUAAGUGGUCUUGUCCUACCUACAAACGAGAAUUAGACGUAAUUAAUAAUUGUUUUCCAUUUCUCAAUCAUAGAAAAGAAAAUUCAAAAGUAAAUUGGAGUAAAUCUUUCAAGGUUCACGAAUUACUACUUCAACACUUGCACGUGAAAAACAAAGAAACCAGUGCCACAAGUUGAAACUGAGUUGUUUCUGUUAAGUUUGGGCUUCGAUUGUUGUCUUUAUAGAAUCCAAGAAUAUAUAUUUACUAGGUAAAUUAUCGCGCUUUGCGCAGUGGUUACUAUAUUAAUAAUCUACUUUUAAAUAUGUAGUAAUAUAAAUAUUUUCGAGACGGUACAACCCUACGAUAGAUUGUUAAGAAUAUUUUAUCCAAAAAGAAAUAAUUUUUUAUAAUCUUAAAACGAAAACUUGAUUCUAAGUGUUUAUGAAUUUUGUUAUUAAUUCUUCAUUUUACUCUAUUUGUUCAUCAGCCAAGUCUUAAGAAAGAUAUGUAAUUGUUUCAUUGUCUAUAUUUGUCUUUUUAAAAAAGUCAUACAAACAUUUAAUUCAUUAAUUGCGAGAGUUUUUAUGCUAUUCAAGGCAUCUACAUAUAAAAUCUAAAUAUUAUACAUCUUAUAUAAUUAGUUGUGUAUUUAAUAAGUUAAUUAAAAUAUAAAAAUGCAUCCCUUGAAGUUCAACAAAAUAAGUAUGUCGCUCAAAUGGUUCAGAUUACAUGAUAUCUUGUCAUGUCCCUUAUUCAAAAUCAUAUGUACUCGAUGAUACUACUUUGAUAGCCAAAAGACAUAUUUUGUUGUUUAUAUUUGAAUCAAUAAAGUUAAAACUUUAUUCUUGGGGGACUUUCAAUCUACAAUUUAUAAGAAGAUAAUUAUUUCUUUAAUUUUUUUUAUUAAUAUAGAUUCAUCCUACUUUGAGGGGUAAUUCAUUGACUCCAACCUAACAUUUGAACCACAAACGUUUGAUUAAGGUUGAGUACAAUACUUAUCAUCCCACUACAUUCACUUAUUUUUUGGAUGUCACUAAUCGAUUAAAUGUGUCGAUAAGAUAGAAAGUUGAAUAAAUAAAACACCAAGAUAGUGUGGAACCGACAUAUAUUUGAAAACUCAAAGUCCCUUCGUAGACAUCCCAUGGAUGUUUUAGCCACUAAAACUCAAUUAAAAUCAAACCAAUAGUCUAAUGACUACAUCAAACUCUUGAUUAACAUAUGUUUACUUCAACACAAUGAUCAAAAUCAUAAACAUAAACAACAAAGUUUAAUACAUGUACUCAAAAAUAAAAAGUAAUAACAUAAGCAUAAAUUAGUGAUUGUAUUAAACAUACCAGGAUCUGUAAUAAUAAAAUGAAACAUGAAGGAAAAAAUCGAGCCCCCUGAUUUGACAUUGUCCCCUUAAGGAAAUUUUCCCAUUCUAGUACCCGAUGUUUAAAGGAAUAGAUCCUCUCUGGACAAAAUGAUUCUAUUCUGUAGUGUGUUAGUACAAAACAAUGAUGUCAGUGAGACACUCAGCAGGAGCAAAAUGCAUAAAUUUUUGUUGUUUUAAAAUUAGAGGAAGUCCCUCUAUUUAUAGACUACAAAGGGUAGCUUGAAUAAAUAUUUAUUGUGUCUUAUCGGAAAGGACACAACUCUUUGGACAAGUCACAAUUUUUCAUUAAAGUUACAACCCUUCAUUAAAGUCGCAACUCUUCAUUAAAGUUGCAACUCUUCAUUAAAGUUGUAAAUCUUUAUAAAAAAGUUGCAACUCUUCGUAAAAGUCACAACUUUUUUUUACAAGUCGUAACUUUUCAUAGAACUUUUUUUUAUAAAAAUCACAACUUUUCAUGAAAGGGAAGACUAAUUUUGUGAAUAAAUAAGUUAAAGGGGAAUUCUGAUUUGUAGUGGUGCCACAUAGACGGGCCUAGGGAGUAAACCUUUCACUAACACUUUAUCAUAAUCAUGAGAAGCUACUUUAAAUCAUAUAAUAAUAAUAUCAUAACAUACUUGCAUUCUUAAUUAACCAAUUCGGUAGUCUAGGGUUAAGGAUGAGGAAUACUUGCUAUCAACAUUACAACCACACAAUAGACAUAGAAGCAUUACAAUCUAAGUAACUCAUACUUUAUAAUUGAAUUCAAGAAAAAUAAAUCUUCAUACCUUCUUGCCUUUUCAUUGCCUUCAUACUUCGAUAACAAAGAAUACAUAAACAAUUCAUAAUCAAGGUAAAUUCAAGAAUCAAUCACAUAAUUAACAUCAAUUUAGUCAAUCAACAUAUUUAUCACGUCCACAAUUCACCAUAGCAAUUCAAAGUUUUCAUGAGAUUGGGGAUAGACAUGGGUCCAUAGGAAUCUUGAGUGAAUAACAAGAUUUAACCACUAAUGUAUACUUAAAAAUAUUACUUGACCAUAAUUCAUCACAAUUGAUUCCUAAUUUCGUUUUUCAAAGAAGACCCAUGUGUAAAGAAAAAUCCUAGUUUGGGGAAGUUUGAAAAUCUCUUUGAAAGGACCUCUUGGGGAAAGGAAUCCCAGGAGUGAAAGAAAUCAUACCUUAACCAAGGCUUUAGCCUCCAGUUUGAGUGAAGAACUUGAGAAUUUGAUCUUCUUCUUCAAGCUUCAAAGUUUCUUCAAUGGAGGUUGAGUAGAGAGAGAAAGUAGAGAGAAGGGAGAGCUUUUGGAUUUUGAUUUGGGGAUUUGAUUCGAGUGGA